This 253-nucleotide ribosomal RNA is filed under the name uncultured bacterium. RNAcentral's name for it is "partial 16S ribosomal RNA". It matches the Rfam family "Bacterial small subunit ribosomal RNA", at positions 524 to 776 of the family's 1533-position model. The record is from RNAcentral.
UACGGAGGGGGCUAGCGUUGUUCGGAAUUACUGGGCGUAAAGCGCACGUAGGCGGCUUUGCAAGACAGAGGUGAAAGCCCAGAGCUCAACUCUGGAAUUGCCUUUGAGACUGAGUGGCUUGAGUACGAGAGAGGUGAGUGGAAUUCCCAGUGUAGAGGUGAAAUUCGUAGAUAUUGGGAAGAACACCGGUGGCGAAGGCGGCUCACUGGCUCGUAACUGACGCUCAUGCACGACAGCGUGGGGAUCAAACAGG